GCAAACUUGGUCAUUUAGAGGAAGUAAAAGUCGUAACAAGGUCUCCGUAGGUGAACCUGCGGAGGGAUCAUUAAUGAAUGGACUUUUUUAAGGUCUUCAAACCUUUCAAACCUGUGGAUAUAUGAAAAUGUGUUUCGGCACUUCGGCGUCGUAUUUAUGCUAUCAUAUAUAUUUUGAAGUCUAAAUUAUAAAUAAAAAUUAAAACUUUCAACAAAGGAUCUCUUGGCUCUUGCAUCGAUGAAGAACGCAGC
Molecule: unclassified non-coding RNA, 251 nt
Filed under: uncultured fungus
Lineage: Eukaryota; Fungi
Description: partial contains small subunit ribosomal RNA, internal transcribed spacer 1, and 5.8S ribosomal RNA
Rfam family: Eukaryotic small subunit ribosomal RNA (bases 1-73)
Source: RNAcentral